This 112-nucleotide transfer RNA is filed under the name Candidatus Methanomethylicus sp. RNAcentral's name for it is "tRNA-OTHER". It matches the Rfam family "tRNA". From Rfam's summary of the family: Transfer RNA (tRNA) molecules are approximately 80 nucleotides in length. Their secondary structure includes four short double-helical elements and three loops (D, anti-codon, and T loops). The record is from RNAcentral. Lineage: Archaea; Thermoproteati; Thermoproteota; Methanosuratincolia; Candidatus Methanomethylicales; Candidatus Methanomethylicaceae.
GCCGAGGUCUCCUAGUCUGGUAGGGAGCAGAAAAUAGCUUAAGCCUGGAGAGAUUCCCUGUUAGCCUGUGCCCAUUAUGGGCUCGGGGGUUCAAAUCCCCCCCUCGGCGCCA